GAGAGAGGCUCGCAGCAACGGAGACUGCUAAUUUCCGCAACCCUGGUUGGACCCCAGGGCUCACUCG
RNAcentral lists this transfer RNA (67 nucleotides) under Liparis ochotensis. RNAcentral describes it as "tRNA-Ser (AGY)". The record is from RNAcentral. Lineage: Eukaryota; Metazoa; Chordata; Actinopteri; Perciformes; Liparidae.